GAGGGUACAGCUCAAGUGGUAGAGCGCAUGCUUAGCAUACACAAGGUCCUGGGUUCAAUCCCCAGUGCCUCCU
This 73-nucleotide transfer RNA is filed under the name Camelus bactrianus (Bactrian camel). It matches the Rfam family "tRNA". Rfam says of the family: Transfer RNA (tRNA) molecules are approximately 80 nucleotides in length. Their secondary structure includes four short double-helical elements and three loops (D, anti-codon, and T loops). RNAcentral also lists the same sequence under 1 other name. Lineage: Eukaryota; Metazoa; Chordata; Mammalia; Artiodactyla; Camelidae. The record is from Rfam by way of RNAcentral.